This 272-nucleotide ribosomal RNA is filed under the name uncultured bacterium. RNAcentral's name for it is "partial 16S ribosomal RNA". It matches the Rfam family "Bacterial small subunit ribosomal RNA", at positions 524 to 794 of the family's 1533-position model. The record is from RNAcentral.
UACGGAGGGUGCAAGCGUUAAUCGGAAUUACUGGGCGUAAAGCGCACGCAGGCGGUUGGAUAAGUUAGAUGUGAAAGCCCCCGGGCUCAACCUGGGAAUUGCAUUUAAAACUGUCCAGCUAGAGUCUUGUAGAGGGGGGUAGAAUUCCAGGUGUAGCGGUGAAAUGCGUAGAGAUCUGGAGGAAUACCGGUGGCGAAGGCGGCCCCCUGGACAAAGACUGACGCUCAGGUGCGAAAGCGUGGGGAGCAAACAGGAUUAGAUACCCGCGUAGU